UGCGAUGACGGCGAUGGAUUUCCGCCGGGCCUGCUGUGCCGCACAGGCCGAACCGCCUUUCGACGGGCUCUCUUGUCGAAAGGCUGAUGAUUCCUGCCUUCGC
Molecule: non-coding RNA, 103 nt
Filed under: Novosphingobium nitrogenifigens
Lineage: Bacteria; Pseudomonadati; Pseudomonadota; Alphaproteobacteria; Sphingomonadales; Sphingomonadaceae
Also listed under: 1 other name
Description: Fluoride sequence
Rfam family: Fluoride riboswitch aptamer (crcB RNA motif)
Source: RNAcentral